RNAcentral lists this ribosomal RNA (460 nucleotides) under uncultured bacterium. RNAcentral describes it as "partial 16S ribosomal RNA". It matches the Rfam family "Bacterial small subunit ribosomal RNA", at positions 338 to 795 of the family's 1533-position model. The record is from RNAcentral.
CCUACGGGCGGCAGCAGUGAGGAAUAUUGGUCAAUGGACGCAAGUCUGAACCAGCCAAGCCGCGUGCAGGAAGACGGCUCUAUGAGUUGUAAACUGCUUUUGUACGAGGGUAAACGCAGAUACGCGUAUCUGUCUGAAAGUAUCGUACGAAUAAGGAUCGGCUAACUCCGUGCCAGCAGCCGCGGUAAUACGGAGGAUUCAAGCGUUAUCCGGAUUUAUUGGGUUUAAAGGGAGCGUAGGCGGUCUGUUAAGUUAGAGGUGAAAUUCCGAGGCUCAACUGUAGAAUUGCCUCUGAUACUGUUCGGCUAGAGAAUAGUUGAGGUAGGCGGAAUGUAUGGUGUAGCGGUGAAAUGCUUAGAGAUCAUACAGAACACCGAUUGCGAAGGCAGCUUACCAAGCUGCUUCUGACGUUGAGGCACGAAAGCGUGGGGAGCAAACAGGAUUAGAUACCCGUGUAGUC